Molecule: non-coding RNA, 28 nt
Filed under: Rattus norvegicus (Norway rat)
Lineage: Eukaryota; Metazoa; Chordata; Mammalia; Rodentia; Muridae
Source: RNAcentral
CACACGGUAGCUUAAAAGUACAAAUGAC